This 240-nucleotide unclassified non-coding RNA is filed under the name soil metagenome. RNAcentral describes it as "partial contains 5.8S ribosomal RNA, internal transcribed spacer 2, and large subunit ribosomal RNA". The record is from RNAcentral.
AACAUCGCGCACCUGCGGGAACCUGCGGAGGAUCAUUACAGAGUUGCAAAACUCCCUAAACCAUUGUGAACGUUACCUAAACCGUUGCUUCGGCGGGCGGCCCGGGUCCUUCCCGGCGCCCCUCGGCCCUCGCGGGCGCCCGCCGGAGGUAAACCAAACUAUUGCAUUGUAUGGCCUCUCUGAGUCUUCUGUACUGAAUAAGUCAAAACUUUCAACAAUGGAUCUCAGAUCGGAAGAGCA